AUCGCUUCUCAGCCUCUUGGCUAAGAUCAAGUGUACUAUGUUGUGUGAUAUUAUUCUCAAUUAUUUAUAGAGGUCAUAAUCCCAUUUGGCUUGACAGCACCAUUUUUAGUGACAUGGAUUUACUGAAUUUUUCCAAAUAAGUUUAGUAUUC
RNAcentral lists this small nuclear RNA (151 nucleotides) under Canis lupus familiaris (dog). RNAcentral describes it as "U2 spliceosomal RNA (multiple genes)". It matches the Rfam family "U2 spliceosomal RNA". From Rfam's summary of the family: U2 is a small nuclear RNA (snRNA) component of the spliceosome (involved in pre-mRNA splicing). The record is from Rfam by way of RNAcentral. RNAcentral also lists the same sequence under 2 other names. Lineage: Eukaryota; Metazoa; Chordata; Mammalia; Carnivora; Canidae.